UCCUGUUUAAUCUUAGUGGCGGACGGGUGAGUAACGCGUGGGCAACCUGCCUCAUACUGGGGGAUAACAGUUGGAAACGACUGUUAAUACCGCAUAAGCGCACAGAGUUGCAUGACUCAGUGUGAAAAACUCCGGUGGUAUGAGAUGGGCCCGCGUCAGAUUAGCUAGUUGGUGAGGUAAAGGCCCACCAAGGCGACGAUCUGUAGCCGGAGUGAGAGGUCGGAUGGCCACAUUGGGACUGAGACACGGCCCAAACUCCUACGGGAGGCAUCAGUGGGGGAUAUUGCACAAUGGAGGAAACUCUGAUGCAGAGACCCCGCGUGAGUGAAGAAGUAUUUCGGUAUGUAAAGCUCUAUCAGCAGGGAAGAAAGGCUCGCAAGAGAGAUGACGGUACCUGACUAAGAAGCCCCGGCUAAAUACGUGCCAGCAGCCGCGGUAAUACGUAGGGGGCAAGCGUUAUCCGGAUUUACUGGGUGUAAAGGGAGCGCAGACGGUUAAGCAAGUCUGAAGUGAAACCCCACGGCUCAACCGUGGGCUUGCUUUGGAAACUGUUUGGCUAGAGUAUUGGAGAGGUAAGCGGAAUUCCUAGUGUAGCGGUGAAAUGCGUAGAUAUUAGGAGGAACAUCGGUGGCGAAGGCGGCUUAC
This 645-nucleotide ribosomal RNA is filed under the name Butyrivibrio sp. P39. Its description in RNAcentral is "bacterial SSU rRNA". It matches the Rfam family "Bacterial small subunit ribosomal RNA", at positions 80 to 729 of the family's 1533-position model. Lineage: Bacteria; Bacillati; Bacillota; Clostridia; Lachnospirales; Lachnospiraceae. The record is from RNAcentral.